GAUGAACGCUGGCGGCGUGCCUAAUACAUGCAAGUCGAGCGAACAGACGAGGAGCUUGCUCCUCUGACGUUAGCGGCGGACGUGUGAGUAACACGUGGAUAACCUACCUAUAAGACUGGGAUAACUUCGGGAAACCGGAGCUAAUACCGGAUAAUAUAUUGAACCGCAUGGUUCAAUAGUGAAAGACGGUUUUGCUGUCACUUAUAGAUGGAUCCGCGCCGCAUUAGCUAGUUGGUAAGGUAACGGCUUACCAAGGCAACGAUGCGUAGCCGACCUGAGAGGGUGAUCGGCCACACUGGAACUGAGACACGGUCCAGACUCCUACGGGAGGCAGCAGUAGGGAAUCUUCCGCAAUGGGCGAAAGCUUGACGGAGCAACGCCGCGUGAGUGAUGAAGGUCCUCGGAUCGUAAAACUCUGUUAUUAGGGAAGAGCAAAUGUGUAAGUAACUAUGCACGUCUUGACGGUACCUAAUCAGAAAGCCACGGCUAACUACGUG
RNAcentral lists this ribosomal RNA (497 nucleotides) under uncultured bacterium. RNAcentral's name for it is "partial 16S ribosomal RNA". It matches the Rfam family "Bacterial small subunit ribosomal RNA", at positions 28 to 507 of the family's 1533-position model. The record is from RNAcentral.